Molecule: ribosomal RNA, 1421 nt
Filed under: Ewingella americana
Lineage: Bacteria; Pseudomonadati; Pseudomonadota; Gammaproteobacteria; Enterobacterales; Yersiniaceae
Description: partial 23S ribosomal RNA
Rfam family: Bacterial large subunit ribosomal RNA
Source: RNAcentral
CUUUAACCCUGAGGCGUGAUAACGAGCCACUACGGUGGUGAAGUAGCUGAUGCCCUGCUUCCAGGAAAAGCCUCUAAGCUCCAGGUAACACGAAAUCGUACCCCAAACCGACACAGGUGGUCAGGUAGAGAAUACUCAGGCGCUUGAGAGAACUCGGGUGAAGGAACUAGGCAAAAUGGUGCCGUAACUUCGGGAGAAGGCACGCUGGCGCGUAGGUGAAGAGACUUGCUCUCGGAGCCGAAGCCAGUCGCAGAUACCAGCUGGCUGCAACUGUUUAAUAAAAACACAGCACUGUGCAAACACGAAAGUGGACGUAUACGGUGUGACGCCUGCCCGGUGCCGGAAGGUUAAUUGAUGGGGUUAUCCGCAAGGAGAAGCUCUUGAUCGAAGCCCCGGUAAACGGCGGCCGUAACUAUAACGGUCCUAAGGUAGCGAAAUUCCUUGUCGGGUAAGUUCCGACCUGCACGAAUGGCGUAAUGAUGGCCAGGCUGUCUCCACCCGAGACUCAGUGAAAUUGAACUCGCUGUGAAGAUGCAGUGUACCCGCGGCAAGACGGAAAGACCCCGUGAACCUUUACUAUAGCUUGACACUGAACAUUGAGCCUUGAUGUGUAGGAUAGGUGGGAGGCUUUGAAGCGUGGACGCCAGUCUGCGUGGAGCCAUCCUUGAAAUACCACCCUUUAAUGUUUGAUGUUCUAACUCGGCCCCGUUAUCCGGGGUGAGGACAGUGUCUGGUGGGUAGUUUGACUGGGGCGGUCUCCUCCUAAAGAGUAACGGAGGAGCACGAAGGUUAGCUAAUCACGGUCGGACAUCGUGAGGUUAGUGCAAUGGCAUAAGCUAGCUUGACUGCGAGAGUGACGGCUCGAGCAGGUACGAAAGUAGGUCAUAGUGAUCCGGUGGUUCUGAAUGGAAGGGCCAUCGCUCAACGGAUAAAAGGUACUCCGGGGAUAACAGGCUGAUACCGCCCAAGAGUUCAUAUCGACGGCGGUGUUUGGCACCUCGAUGUCGGCUCAUCACAUCCUGGGGCUGAAGUAGGUCCCAAGGGUAUGGCUGUUCGCCAUUUAAAGUGGUACGCGAGCUGGGUUUAGAACGUCGUGAGACAGUUCGGUCCCUAUCUGCCGUGGGCGUUGGAAGAUUGAGAGGGGCUGCUCCUAGUACGAGAGGACCGGAGUGGACGCAUCACUGGUGUUCGGGUUGUCAUGCCAAUGGCAUUGCCCGGUAGCUAAAUGCGGAAAAGAUAAGCGCUGAAAGCAUCUAAGCGCGAAACUUGCCUCGAGAUGAGUCUUCCCUGUGGCUUUAAGCCACCUGAAGGGACGUUUAAGACUAAGACGUUGAUAGGCUGGGUGUGUAAGUGCAGCGAUGCAUUGAGCUAACCAGUACUAAUGACCCGAGAGGCUUAACCUUACAACACCGAAGGUGUUU